AGUGAACGCUGGCGGUAGGCCUAACACAUGCAAGUCGAACGGCAGCACAGUAAGAGCUUGCUCUUACGGGUGGCGAGUGGCGGACGGGUGGGGAAUACAUCGGAAUCUACUUUUUCGUGGGGGAUAACGUAGGGGAACUUACGCUAAUACCGCAUACGACCUACGGGUGAAAGCAGGGGAUCUUCGGACCUUGCGCGAUUGAAUGAGCCGAUGUCGGAUUAGCUAGUUGGCGGGGUAAAGGCCCACCAAGGCGACGACCCGUAGCUGGUCUGAGAGGAUGAUCAGCCACACUGGAACUGAGACACGGUCCAGACUCCUACGGGAGGCAGCAGUGGGGAAUAUUGGACAAUGGGCGCAAGCCUGAUCCAGCCAUACCGCGUGGGUGAAGAAGGCCUUCGGGUUGUAAAGCCCUUUUGUUGGGAAAGAAAAGCAGCAGGUUAAUACCCCGCUGUUCUGACGGUACCCAAAGAAUAAGCACCGGCUAACUUCGUG
This 492-nucleotide ribosomal RNA is filed under the name uncultured bacterium. RNAcentral describes it as "partial 16S ribosomal RNA". It matches the Rfam family "Bacterial small subunit ribosomal RNA", at positions 29 to 507 of the family's 1533-position model. The record is from RNAcentral.